AAUACAAGCAGACACUCUAGGC
RNAcentral lists this unclassified non-coding RNA (22 nucleotides) under Mus musculus (house mouse). Its description in RNAcentral is "oocyte_clustered_small_RNA541". Lineage: Eukaryota; Metazoa; Chordata; Mammalia; Rodentia; Muridae. The record is from RNAcentral.